RNAcentral lists this ribosomal RNA (422 nucleotides) under Verrucomicrobiota bacterium. RNAcentral's name for it is "Verrucomicrobia bacterium partial 16S ribosomal RNA". It matches the Rfam family "Bacterial small subunit ribosomal RNA", at positions 355 to 776 of the family's 1533-position model. Lineage: Bacteria; Pseudomonadati; Verrucomicrobiota. The record is from RNAcentral.
UGGGGAAUUUUGCACAAUGGGCGCAAGCCUGAUGCAGCGACGCCGCGUGAGGGAUGAAGUCCUUCGGGUUGUAAACCUUUUUCGCUCAUGGUCAAGCCGCAGCUUUGGGUUGUGGUGAGGGUAGUGGGUAAAGAAGCGCCGGCUAACUACGUGCCAGCAGCCGCGGUAAUACGUAGGGCGCGAGCGUUGUCCGGAAUUAUUGGGCGUAAAGGGCUUGUAGGCGGUUGGCCGCGUCUGCCGUGAAAUCCUCUGGCUUAACUGGGGGCGUGCGGUGGGUACGGGUUGACUUGAGUGCGGUAGGGGUGACUGGAAUUCCUGGUGUGGCGGUGGAAUGCGCAGAUAUCAGGAGGAACACCGGUGGCGAAGGCGGGUCUCUGGGCCGUAACUGACGCUGAGGAGCGAAAGAGUGGGGAGCGAACAGG